Molecule: ribosomal RNA, 628 nt
Filed under: uncultured fungus
Lineage: Eukaryota; Fungi
Description: eukaryotic LSU rRNA
Rfam family: Eukaryotic large subunit ribosomal RNA
Source: RNAcentral
CCCGCUGAACUUAAGCAUAUCAAUAAGCGGAGGAAAAGAAACCAACAGGGAUUGCCUCAGUAACGGCGAGUGAAGCGGCAACAGCUCAAAUUUGAAAUCUGGCCUCUUUGGGGUCCGAGUUGUAAUUUGUAGAGGAUGUUUCGGGUACCGCCUCGGUUUAAAUUUCUUGGAACAGAAUGUCAAAGAGGGUGAGAAUCCCGUCUUGGACCGGCGGUAGGGCCCAUGUGAAACUCCUUCGACGAGUCGAGUUGUUUGGGAAUGCAGCUCAAAAUGGGUGGUAAAUUUCAUCUAAAGCUAAAUAUUGGCCAGAGACCGAUAGCGCACAAGUAGAGUGAUCGAAAGAUGAAAAGCACUUUGAAAAGAGAGUUAAACAGUAUGUGAAAUUGUUGAAAGGGAAGCGCUUACAACCAGACUUGCGCGCGGCGGUUCCCCCUUCCUUUUGGUUGGGCUACUCCGUCGUGUCCAGGCCAACAUCGGUUCUGGGGGUCGGUUAAAGACCCUGGGAAUGUAUCUACCCUUCGGGCGUAGACUUAUAGCUCAGGGUGUCAUGCGACCUCCCGGGACCGAGGAACGCGCUUCGGCUCGGAUGUUGGCGUAAUGGUUGUCAGCGACCCGUCUUGAAACACGG